Molecule: ribosomal RNA, 425 nt
Filed under: uncultured beta proteobacterium
Lineage: Bacteria; Pseudomonadati; Pseudomonadota; Betaproteobacteria
Description: partial 16S ribosomal RNA
Rfam family: Bacterial small subunit ribosomal RNA
Source: RNAcentral
GGGGAAUUUUGGACAAUGGGGGCAACCCUGAUCCAGCCAUGCCGCGUGAGUGAAGAAGGCCUUCGGGUUGUAAAGCUCUUUCGGACGGAAAGAAAUCGCCGCCUCUAACAUAGGCGGUGGAUGACGGUACCGUAAGAAGAAGCACCGGCUAACUACGUGCCAGCAGCCGCGGUAAUACGUAGGGUGCGAGCGUUAAUCGGAAUUACUGGGCGUAAAGCGUGCGCAGGCGGUUUGGUAAGACAGGUGUGAAAUCCCCGGGCUUAACCUGGGACUGGGGUUGGGGCCUGCAGGGUUGGGGAACGGCGGGGGGGGGGGGAAUUCAACGUGAGGCGGUGAAUGGCGUGAGGAGGUGAGGGAACACGGAUGGGGAGGGCGGCCCCUGGGCCUGUACUGACGCUCAUGCACGAAAGCGUGGGGAGCAAACA